GGCCGGUGCAGGGGGCGGGCGUCCCCCGCGGACUGCAAACCCGUCGGGUCCGACGAACCAUCGGAUCGCUCGGUUCGACUCCGAGGCCGGCCUCCA
RNAcentral lists this transfer RNA (96 nucleotides) under Planctomycetaceae bacterium. RNAcentral's name for it is "tRNA-Cys". The record is from RNAcentral. Lineage: Bacteria; Pseudomonadati; Planctomycetota; Planctomycetia; Planctomycetales; Planctomycetaceae.